Small nucleolar RNA from Ochotona curzoniae (black-lipped pika), 74 nucleotides. RefSeq annotates it as small nucleolar RNA SNORD5. NCBI's taxonomy places the organism in Eukaryota, Metazoa, Chordata, Mammalia, Lagomorpha, Ochotonidae. The transcript has a single exon. The record is from RefSeq and is a predicted model, not a curated record.
AUUUAAAAGAUGACGAAUUUAUGUUCAACUGUUGAAUGAUUACAGACAUGAACCAAAACUUAAUUCUGAAAGAG